AUACGUAGGGUGCGAGCGUUGUCCGGAAUUACUGGGCGUAAAGAGCUCGUAGGUGGUUUGUCGCGUCGUCUGUGAAAUUCCGGGGCUUAACUCCGGGCGUGCAGGCGAUACGGGCAUAACUUGAGUACUGUAGGGGAGACUGGAAUUCCUGGUGUAGCGGUGAAAUGCGCAGAUAUCAGGAGGAACACCGGUGGCGAAGGCGGAUAUCUGGGCAGUAACUGACGCUGAGGAGCGAAAGCAUGGGUAGCGAACAGGAUUAGAUACCCUGGUAGUCCAUGCCGUAAACGGUGGGCGCUAGGUGUAGGGGUCUUCCACGACUUCUGUGCCGUAGCUAACGCAUUAAGCGCCCCGCCUGGGGAGUACGGCCGCAAGGCUAAAACUCAAAUGAAUUGACGGGG
Molecule: ribosomal RNA, 398 nt
Filed under: uncultured bacterium
Lineage: Bacteria
Description: partial 16S ribosomal RNA
Rfam family: Bacterial small subunit ribosomal RNA
Source: RNAcentral